GGAGCUGUGGCUCAGUGGCAGAGCGUCUGCUUUGCAUGUAGAAGGUCCCAGGUUCAAACCCUGUCAUCUCCA
Molecule: non-coding RNA, 72 nt
Organism: Eublepharis macularius
Lineage: Eukaryota; Metazoa; Chordata; Lepidosauria; Squamata; Eublepharidae
Source: the annotation of a RefSeq genome assembly